Molecule: ribosomal RNA, 1372 nt
Filed under: uncultured bacterium
Lineage: Bacteria
Description: bacterial SSU rRNA
Rfam family: Bacterial small subunit ribosomal RNA
Source: RNAcentral
GAUGAACGCUGGCGGCGUGCCUAAUACAUGCAAGUCGAGCGAACGGACGAGAAGCUUGCUUCUCUGAUGUUAGCGGCGGACGGGUGAGUAACACGUGGAUAACCUACCUAUAAGACUGGGAUAACUUCGGGAAACCGGAGCUAAUACCGGAUAAUAUUUUGAACCGCAUGGUUCAAAAGUGAAAGACGGUCUUGCUGUCACUUAUAGAUGGAUCCGCGCUGCAUUAGCUAGUUGGUAUGGUAACGGCUUACCAAGGCAACGAUGCAUAGCCGACCUGAGAGGGUGAUCGGCCACACUGGAACUGAGACACGGUCCAGACUCCUACGGGAGGCAGCAGUAGGGAAUCUUCCGCAAUGGGCGAAAGCCUGACGGAGCAACGCCGCGUGAGUGAUGAAGGUCUUCGGAUCGUAAAACUCUGUUAUUAGGGAAGAACAUAUGUGUAAGUAACUGUGCACAUCUUGACGGUACCUAAUCAGAAAGCCACGGCUAACUACGUGCCAGCAGCCGCGGUAAUACGUAGGUGGCAAGCGUUAUCCGGAAUUAUUGGGCGUAAAGCGCGCGUAGGCGGUUUUUUAAGUCUGAUGUGAAAGCCCACGGCUCAACCGUGGAGGGUCAUUGGAAACUGGAAAACUUGAGUGCAGAAGAGGAAAGUGGAAUUCCAUGUGUAGCGGUGAAAUGCGCAGAGAUAUGGAGGAACACCAGUGGCGAAGGCGACUUUCUGGUCUGUAACUGACGCUGAUGUGCGAAAGCGUGGGGAUCAAACAGGAUUAGAUACCCUGGUAGUCCACGCCGUAAACGAUGAGUGCUAAGUGUUAGGGGGUUUCCGCCCCUUAGUGCUGCAGCUAACGCAUUAAGCACUCCGCCUGGGGAGUACGACCGCAAGGUUGAAACUCAAAGGAAUUGACGGGGACCCGCACAAGCGGUGGAGCAUGUGGUUUAAUUCGAAGCAACGCGAAGAACCUUACCAAAUCUUGACAUCCUUUGACAACUCUAGAGAUAGAGCCUUCCCCUUCGGGGGACAAAGUGACAGGUGGUGCAUGGUUGUCGUCAGCUCGUGUCGUGAGAUGUUGGGUUAAGUCCCGCAACGAGCGCAACCCUUAAGCUUAGUUGCCAUCAUUAAGUUGGGCACUCUAAGUUGACUGCCGGUGACAAACCGGAGGAAGGUGGGGAUGACGUCAAAUCAUCAUGCCCCUUAUGAUUUGGGCUACACACGUGCUACAAUGGACAAUACAAAGGGCAGCGAAACCGCGAGGUCAAGCAAAUCCCAUAAAGUUGUUCUCAGUUCGGAUUGUAGUCUGCAACUCGACUACAUGAAGCUGGAAUCGCUAGUAAUCGUAGAUCAGCAUGCUACGGUGAAUACGUUCCCGGGUCU